RNAcentral lists this ribosomal RNA (472 nucleotides) under uncultured Thermus sp. RNAcentral's name for it is "bacterial SSU rRNA". It matches the Rfam family "Bacterial small subunit ribosomal RNA", at positions 916 to 1381 of the family's 1533-position model. The record is from RNAcentral. Lineage: Bacteria; Thermotogati; Deinococcota; Deinococci; Thermales; Thermaceae.
UUGGACGGGGCCCGCACAAGCGGUGGAGCAUGUGGUUUAAUUCGAAGCAACGCGAAGAACCUUACCAGGUCUUGACAUCCCGAUGCUAUUUCUAGAGAUAGAAAGUUACUUCGGUACAUCGGUGACAGGUGGUGCAUGGUUGUCGUCAGCUCGUGUCGUGAGAUGUUGGGUUAAGUCCCGCAACGAGCGCAACCCCCGCCGUUAGUUGCCAGCGGUUCGGCCGGGCACUCUAACGGGACUGCCCGCGAAAGCGGGAGGAAGGAGGGGACGACGUCUGGUCAGCAUGGCCCUUACGGCCUGGGCGACACACGUGCUACAAUGCCCACUACAAAGCGAUGCCACCCGGCAACGGGGAGCUAAUCGCAAAAAGGUGGGCCCAGUUCGGAUUGGGGUCUGCAACCCGACCCCAUGAAGCCGGAAUCGCUAGUAAUCGCGGAUCAGCCAUGCCGCGGUGAAUACGUUCCCGGGCCUU